Molecule: non-coding RNA, 2841 nt
Organism: Cricetulus griseus (Chinese hamster)
Lineage: Eukaryota; Metazoa; Chordata; Mammalia; Rodentia; Cricetidae
Source: RefSeq, a predicted model, not a curated record
UGCCUGAGCCGGGCGGUGGUGGCGCCCGCCUUUAGUCCCUGCCCUCGGGAGGCCAGGGGGAUCUCUGUGAGUUCGAGACCAGCCUGGUCUACCAGGGAUAGUUCCAGGACAGCCUCCAAAGCCACACAGAGAAACCCUGUCUUGCCUGAGACUCCUGCCCCUUGGCAGUGCUCUGUCCCCGGAAGCCUCCCUGAGGUUUCUGGAAAGGUGAUGGGUCAGGCAAUUGUCUUCUAGUCAUGAGGGUAGCAUUUUAAAGAAGUUUCUUUUCUCAUAAAGUUGGGAGUGGGUUCCUGAAGAGAUGGCUCUGCAGUCAAGAGCACUUGCUGCUGACCUGGGUUCAGUCCCCAACACCCAUCAGAUGGCUCCCCUUCAUCUUGUAACUCCAGUUCCUGAGUGUCUUUCUGAAAUCCAAUGUGUGAAACCAAGAUGUUGUCGAUAAAGAACAGGCAUGUUAGUCAAGUAAUGCUUACCUCUAAAGACAUGCCCACUUGUAUUCACCCUGCAUUUCUUCACUCUACACUGAAAAACUAAUCAUGAGGAUAAACCCUAUGAAUGUAAGACAUGGGAAAAGACUUUUAAUCAGAACUUACCCUAUGAGAGUAAGGAGUGUGGCAAAGCCUGGAGUCAUGUCUCACUUGUUACUCAACAUCAGCAGACUCACACUGGUGAGAAACCUUAGGAAUGUGAGGAGUGUGGCAGGACUUUUAUUUAUUUAUUUUUAAAGAUUUUAUUUAUUAUGUAUACAGUCUUGUGCCUGCAGGCAAGCAGAGGGCACCAAAUCUCAUUCAGGGUGGUUUUGAGCCACCAUGUGGUUGUUGGGAAUUAAACUCAGGACCUCUGGAAGAACAGUCAGUGCUCUUAACCGCUGAGCCAUCAUCUCUCCAGCCCCAUGUGGCAGGACUUUUCGUUGUGGUUGAUAUUUUUCCCAACAUUGAAGGGUUCACACUGGUGAGAAACCCUGUGAAUGUAAAGUCUGUGGGAAAGCCUUUAAAUUCUCAAAUCUUAAUGAUCAUCAAAGAAUUCCCACGGUUGAGAAACCUGACGCUUAUAAAGUCUGUGGGAAAGCCUUUACUCAAAGUUCACAACUUUUCCAGCAUCUGAGAAUGUAUACCUGUGAAAAACCAUUGUGAAUGUAAGGAGUGUGGAAAGGCCUUUACUCAACACUCAAGGCUCAUUCGGCACCAUAGAAUUCACACUGGUGAGAAACCUGAUGAAUGUAAGAUGUGUGGGAAAGCCUUUGGUAAUCACCAGGGAAUUCAUUCUGGUGUGAAACUCUAUGAAUGGAAAGAAUGGAAAGGCCUUUAUUCAGAGCUCAGAACUUGACACUAUUUUGUAGCUGUGUCAUUCUGCUCUCUACUUCUAUAUUCUCGUUGUAUUCACUCUGAGAAUGGAUACCAGUCAUACUGGAUUAAGGUCUCCUAAUGAUCUUAAUGGCUUUAUCCACAAAACCAUAUUUCCAUGAGAAAUCAUAUACACUGCUACCAGGAGUUAAAGCUGCAUCAUAUCUUUUGGGGGAGAGCACUGAAGGUGAGAAUAGUACAGUUCAAAACUAUAAUAUCCUAUCAAUACAAUUUUAUCUAAUGUAUUUGUAAUUUUCUCCCAUAUAUUUGUUAAAUAUAUUUUAAAAUGUGAAUGUAAAGUCUAAAACUCUCUCCUUCCCCCAGAAGAAAAGAUUCUAUCCCCAAACUACAUAAAUGCCCUCUAAGUGCAGUUUCAAUGUUUUUUUUUUCCCUUCCUUUUUCUUUAAAACAUAUUUAAAAGGUUUUUGUUUUGGUUUGAUUUGGUUUUUGGUUUUUCGAGACAGGGUUUCUCUGUAGACCAGGCUGGCCUCAAACUCAUGGGUACAUAGUGGGACCAUGUCUCAAAAAAAGAAAGAAAAAAUUAAAAUGAAUGAAAGAAUUUCUUGCUGAUUCCUACAUGUUAUAUUUCUGCAUUAUAUAAAGAAUGACUCUUCCAGUCUACUGCAAGACACUUUCAGAAAGACUAAGAAUACAAUGUACAAGAAAACUUCAUUUGGUCAUAUAUGGAGAAUAAUCAAGUUUAUAUUGAAUUUCCAAUAUAAAUUCCUAGGUUUUUAGUAGUUUUGCCUCCUGAUCUAUCAAGAGAUAUUAAGGACAUUGCUUUAGUAUUCAGUCACAGGAUCAAUAAGAACUACUAUAGACAUGUACACUUACCACAAACUAGGUAGAGAAAACAUAGCUGAUAUGGUAUGGUUCUUAAAACCAGUUGGUUAUAGGAUUAUUUUCUACACAGUUAACAUAUCAAAAGACAUUGAUGUUUAGAGUACAAACUUGGUAAUGAGCACUCUAUGAUAUAUAGGUUUGAUAUCCUCAACUCAGGUUCAAUUUAUAUUUACAAUUGUAUAUGGUUUACUGAGGAAUGUGUUAUAAUAUACUUCUAAGUCUCUUCACAUAUAGUUUGUAUAUGUUGUUACCAUACAAGUUUAGAGCUUUUGUGUCAGAAAAAACAUGCUUAUGUUCUGUAAUAUUUCUACUAAAAUUUGCGCCACAAUGAGAGUAGAAAUUUCCUGCUACUAAAGCACUGUAUGUAAACAAAGUAAAAUGAUAAGAUUGGGGAUCUUGAUCCAGGUUUCCCACACAAUUAUUAGGUUCUCAGUCCUGUAGGCAUUUUUCCCUAGCAUGAAUUUCCUGAUGUCUGAGGUUUGGCUUCUGAUAGAAGACUUUGCCGCACUCAUUAUACUCAUAGGAUUUUUUUCUCUAGUGUUUAUUGAGACGUGAUUUCUGGCUAAAGCAUUUGCCACAUUCUCUGCAACAAUAAAGUUUUUCUCCUUAAGGUGCAUCUUCCAAUGUACAUUAAGGUAUGACUUUUCACUGCACAAAA